UGUGUGUUUUGUGUUGCAUUAAACGAGCGAAACAGCCAAUAUUUUAAAGAUGGCGUGGACAGGAGCAUAUUUCUUUUUGAUAAUUUUGACUGGAGCCGUAGGUGCCUGCAACGUAAAACCAAGACGGACAGAUAUCACGGACUUCGGAUAUAAGAGCAUGUUUCAUGGAUGGGUAGACGUUCAAGGACAGGGAGCGAACAAUGACUAUUGCAGAUGCGUUGGAAAUCGACCGAAUACGUAUGUUUCGUGUAUGCUGGCCAAAAGGUUGAGCUUUGGGUCCAACCAGUAUGAAUGCAGAGUUCCUGGGUCCAACGGUUGUUAGAUGUGUUGGAAAUAAACCAAAAGUUUACGUUUCGUGUAUGCUGGCCGAUAGGUUCGGCUUCCAGUGUAACCAGUAUGGCCAUAGAGUUUCCGGACCCAAUUCGUGCUAAAUCAUCUUCACGGAUUAUUAUUAUUAUUAUUAUGUAUAAUAAUAAUAAUAAUAAAAGAAUAUUAAAAAAAUAAAACAAGUUUUAAACUGUU
This 522-nucleotide unclassified non-coding RNA is filed under the name Gigantopelta aegis. Its description in RNAcentral is "uncharacterized LOC121383473, transcript variant X2". Lineage: Eukaryota; Metazoa; Mollusca; Gastropoda; Neomphalida; Peltospiridae. The record is from RNAcentral.